UUGCAGACUGACUGAGACUGAAAGGCAACUUUCCUUCUACUGAGAGGCUAUGAAACUGCCAGAGAAAGCUGAAAUUCCUGUUACUUGGGGCCAUGGACCAAAAUCCUGUGUACAAAGUCCAAGACCAAAUGAGCUAGAUGACAGGUGUUACAGAUACCAGGGUGUGUGACGCAAAGGUGUGCAAAGAAGAUUGUGGUAGAGAGCAUCUGGAAAAUCGUCCUUUUUCAUUUCUAUGUUGUCUCAACUGGAAAUCAGGAUUCCUUCAGACAAAGAGAACGACCUGGCUUUAUCAUAUAUUGUGAAAAUUUUAUUGAGCUAAUUUGCAGGCUAGAAAACAAUAAUCCAAGAAGUUAACUACCUGU
This 362-nucleotide long non-coding RNA is filed under the name Cyanistes caeruleus (blue tit). RNAcentral describes it as "lncRNA (ENSCCEG00000023581.1)". The record is from RNAcentral. Lineage: Eukaryota; Metazoa; Chordata; Aves; Passeriformes; Paridae.